RNAcentral lists this transfer RNA (72 nucleotides) under Camelus bactrianus (Bactrian camel). It matches the Rfam family "tRNA". Rfam says of the family: Transfer RNA (tRNA) molecules are approximately 80 nucleotides in length. Lineage: Eukaryota; Metazoa; Chordata; Mammalia; Artiodactyla; Camelidae. The record is from Rfam by way of RNAcentral. RNAcentral also lists the same sequence under 2 other names.
GUAUUUAUUGCUCAGUGGUAGAGUGCAUGCCUAGCGUGCACGAGGUCCUAGGUUCAAUCCCCAGUACCUCCA